UAGGCCCUAGGGUGUUUUUCAUCCUAACAG
Molecule: non-coding RNA, 30 nt
Filed under: Mus musculus (house mouse)
Lineage: Eukaryota; Metazoa; Chordata; Mammalia; Rodentia; Muridae
Source: RNAcentral